This 217-nucleotide ribosomal RNA is filed under the name uncultured bacterium. Its description in RNAcentral is "partial 16S ribosomal RNA". It matches the Rfam family "Bacterial small subunit ribosomal RNA", at positions 122 to 334 of the family's 1533-position model. The record is from RNAcentral.
UAACCUGCCUGGUAGCGGGGGAUAACUAUUGGAAACGAUAGCUAAUACCGCAUAACAGUAGAUAUCGCAUGAUAUUUGCUUGAAAGGUGCAAUUGCACCACUACCAGAUGGACCUGCGUUGUAUUAGCUAGUUGGUGAGGUAACGGCUCGCCAAGGCAACGAUACAUAGCCGACCUGAGAGGGUGAUCGGCCACACUGGGACUGAGACACGGCCCAG